GCCUGAGUGGCUCAGUCGGUUAAGCGUCUGACUUCAGGUCAGGUCAUGAUGUCACGAUUUGUGAGUUCAAACCCCGCAUCGGGCU
Molecule: transfer RNA, 85 nt
Organism: Felis catus (domestic cat)
Lineage: Eukaryota; Metazoa; Chordata; Mammalia; Carnivora; Felidae
Rfam family: tRNA
About the family: Transfer RNA (tRNA) molecules are approximately 80 nucleotides in length. Their secondary structure includes four short double-helical elements and three loops (D, anti-codon, and T loops). Further hydrogen bonds mediate the characteristic L-shaped molecular structure. tRNAs have two regions of fundamental functional importance: the anti-codon, which is responsible for specific mRNA codon recognition, and the 3' end, to which the tRNAs corresponding amino acid is attached (by aminoacyl-tRNA synthetases). tRNAs cope with the degeneracy of the genetic code in two manners: having more than one tRNA (with a specific anti-codon) for a particular amino acid; and 'wobble' base-pairing, i.e. permitting non-standard base-pairing at the 3rd anti-codon position.
Source: Rfam